AAAUGGAUGGAAUCUUCAGGAUGGUGGACCAGAUUUAGUCUUGAGCCCAAAAUAAGGAUGAAACAUUGUCGAGCUUGCUGAUAAGAGCUCUACGAUAAAAUCUCGGGAUAGAAAGACAGCAAUGUAGUAUAUAACUUUUGUUAAAUUUGCAUUGGCAAGUUGACAUGUUCAUUCAUAAGAUUAGGUUUUGUUUACAGUGACUCAUUUAAUGAGAUGACUUGUUUAGUUUUGUGUUAAGGAGUAAUACACAACGGAAUUGACUGAACAAAUACACGGGUAUGAUGUUUUCAGAACGUUUUAUUUAAUUCAUUUUAACGUUUGGUAUAAAAUGUAUCAUUUUUGGGGUGUGACCAAAAAUAAGGGUCUGAAAUUUUCUUCAUGCUGUUUAAAAUACAUUUAAUGCUUUAAGAUAAAUUCCAUGUUUAAAAUCAACUCCACGGUGUUAAGUCAAAAAAUGUAAAAAAAUCCCCUGCACACCCAUCAAGACGUUUUUAGCGCCAUCUAGCGGGCAACGGAGAAAUUACAACAACACGAAAAAGCAACAUGGCGACCACCAGGCGACUCGUGUCAAGGUUGGCGAUGGUGACAGGUGGCGGCAGCGGGAUUGGUCGCGCCGUGUGCCGGCGUUUGGCCUCCGAGGGCGCCUCGGUGGCGGUCGCUGACGUCGACGAGGCGUCGGCCAAUGAGACGCUGCGAAGCCUGCCAGGUGACCUCAUGGGUCAGGCCCACAUGGCGGCGGCGGCGGAUGUGGCGUCAAAAGAGAGCGUCAAGAACCUGCUUACAAGCAUCCAGGCUCGCUACUUCCAGCCGCCCUCGGUGUGCGUGAACGCAGCGGGCAUCACCCUGGACAACUUCCUGCUGGACAUGGAGGAGGAUGACUUUGACAGGGUGGUCCAGGUCAACCUGAAGGGCUCCUUUUUGGUCAUUCAGGCCGUCGCUCAGGCCCUGGUGGCCUGCGGAGCCUCCAAAGGAUCCAUCGUUACCGUGGGCAGCAUUGUGGGCAAAGUGGGAAACUUAGGGCAGGUCAAUUACGCCGCCUCAAAAGCCGGAGUGGAGGGUUUAACCAGGACGGCUGCCAAGGAGCUCAGUAGGUUUGGGAUCCGCUGUAACUGUGUGCUGCCGGGGUUUAUAGCAACGCCCAUGACGGACAAAGUGCCCGAGAGGGUGAUCGGCAAGUUCAGGGCGUACCCCGCCUCUCGACCCGAAGAUUGCUGGGAUAGGCUCCAGCACGCCCGCGACCCGAGUGAGGAGAAGCGGCACGGGAAAUGGAUGGAUGGAUGAUUUGCUUUGCCUACACUGCCACUCAGUGGCCGUUGGAAAGAAUGCAGUUUCGCCAAGUACAUUUUUUAAAAUCCCAAACAAAACGAGGUCAUUUAUUUAAAUGCAAAGUCAGAUAUCAAUCUGAGACUGAAUUUGUGUGUGUGAACUAAUGUUUUUAUUAAAUAAAUGCGCCGUAACGCUGCAUCUGGUUGUUGUUUUUCGUGUCAGAUGAAGUCUCUGAUACCACUGGGAAGGAUGGGCGAGGCAGCAGGUCACAAACUUUCACAAAUGUCUCCCUUUUUUGUUUUUGUUUUUGUUUUCUUUUUGCACCAUACAGUGGUACCUUGACUUGCAAGUUAAAUUUGUCCCGUGAAGAAGCUUCUAACUUAGUUUACUCAGCUAUCAAAUCAUUUUUUUUUUCCCCACUUGGAAGAAUUGAAAUGCCAUUAAUUCGAAACAGGUUUGUUUUUUAUAUAUAUAUAUAUAUAUAUUUUUUUUUUUUCUUUUCCAAAGUCAAUUGAGCAGUGACGUAUCUGAAGCUCACCGCUUACUAAAAUUUUGCCUUGCAACACAAAGCAAAAUAUCGACCAAGCGACGGUCUAGGUACGACUGUAUUGUGGUUGAACUUUGCGUUCCCGUUCGUGUGCGUGUGAUGUGCUCUGUCGUCCUACAGAAGUCGCUGACGUUUGCGCCUUCCUUGCCUCGGACGACGCCCGUUACGUCACGGGUGCCAGCCUGGAAGUCACGGGUGGACUUUUUAUGGGAUAAACCAGCAGCCUGCUGAACAAAUUUGUAUGCCUUAAAGCGCUGGUGUCAAACUCCACAAGUUUUUGUGGGCUAUUAAAGUAAAUAAAGUGUGUCUACUUUG
Molecule: RNA transcript, 2128 nt
Organism: Phyllopteryx taeniolatus (common seadragon)
Lineage: Eukaryota; Metazoa; Chordata; Actinopteri; Syngnathiformes; Syngnathidae
Gene: hsd17b8
Gene name: hydroxysteroid (17-beta) dehydrogenase 8
Exons: 8
Source: RefSeq, a predicted model, not a curated record